This 1398-nucleotide ribosomal RNA is filed under the name Vibrio sp. BS12. Its description in RNAcentral is "16S ribosomal RNA". It matches the Rfam family "Bacterial small subunit ribosomal RNA", at positions 94 to 1454 of the family's 1533-position model. The record is from RNAcentral. Lineage: Bacteria; Pseudomonadati; Pseudomonadota; Gammaproteobacteria; Vibrionales; Vibrionaceae.
AGCGGCGGACGGGUGAGUAAUGCCUAGGAAAUUCGCCCUGAUGUGGGGGAUAACCAUUGGAAACGAUGGCUAAUACCGCAUGAUGCCUACGGGCCAAAGAGGGGGACCUUCGGGCCUCUCGCGUCAGGAUAUGCCUAGGUGGGAUUAGCUAGUUGGUGAGGUAAGGGCUCACCAAGGCGACGAUCCCUAGCUGGUCUGAGAGGAUGAUCAGCCACACUGGAACUGAGACACGGUCCAGACUCCUACGGGAGGCAGCAGUGGGGAAUAUUGCACAAUGGGCGCAAGCCUGAUGCAGCCAUGCCGCGUGUGUGAAGAAGGCCUUCGGGUUUUAAAGCACUUUCAGUCGUGAGGAAGGUAGUGGAGUUAAUAGCUGCAUUAUUUGACGUUAGCGACCGAAGAAGCACCGGCUAACCUCCGUGCCAGCAGCCGCGGGUAAUACGGAGGGUUGCGAGCGUUAAUCGGAAUUACUGGGCGUAAAGCGCAUGGAGGUGGUUUGUUAAUUCCGAUGUGAAAGCCCCGGGCUCCACCUCCGAAUAGCAUUUUAAACUGGGAGACUAUAGUACUGUAGAGGGGGACGGGAUAGGAAUUUCACUGGUAGCCGGUGAAAUGCGUAGAGAGCGGAAAGGACAUUAGCGAUGGCGAAGGCGUGCCCCCCCGGACAGAUUACUGACACUCAUGAUCCGGAAAGGCGGGGGGACCAAACAAGGAUUAGCAUACCCUGGUAGUCACACCGUAAACGAAUGUCUACUCGUGAGGUUGUGGACCUGUCACCCGUGGCUUUCGCGAGGAUCUAGACGGCGUAUAAGUAGACCGCCGCUGGGGAGUACGGUCGCAAGAUUAAAACUCAAAUGAAUGACGGGGGCCCGCACAAGCGGUGGAGCAUGUGGUUUAAUUCGAUGCAACGCGAAGAACCUUACCUACUCUUGACAUCCAGAGAACUUUCCAGAGAUGGAUUGGUGCCUUCGGGAACUCUGAGACAGGUGCUGCAUGGCUGUCGUCAGCUCGUGUUGUGAAAUGUUGGGUUAAGUCCCGCAACGAGCGCAACCCUUAUCCUUGUUUGCCAGCGAGUAAUGUCGGGAACUCCAGGGAGACUGCCGGUGAUAAACCGGAGGAAGGUGGGGACGACGUCAAGUCAUCAUGGCCCUUACGAGUAGGGCUACACACGUGCUACAAUGGCGCAUACAGAGGGCGGCCAACUUGCGAAAGUGAGCGAAUCCCAAAAAGUGCGUCGUAGUCCGGAUUGGAGUCUGCAACUCGACUCCAUGAAGUCGGAAUCGCUAGUAAUCGUGGAUCAGAAUGCCACGGUGAAUACGUUCCCGGGCCUUGUACACACCGCCCGUCACACCAUGGGAGUGGGCUGCAAAAGAAGUAGGUAGUUAACCUUCGGGGGACGCUACC